Molecule: transfer RNA, 105 nt
Filed under: Luminiphilus sp.
Lineage: Bacteria; Pseudomonadati; Pseudomonadota; Gammaproteobacteria; Cellvibrionales; Halieaceae
Description: tRNA-Ala
Source: RNAcentral
GGAACCAUUGGGUGGAACCAAAUUUGAUUAAAACAUCUCAGGGCCUAACAUUGCAUAACACUGGCAGUGUUGAGGUCGUCGGUUCGAUCCCGUCUGGCUCCACCA